This is a long non-coding RNA of Saccostrea cuccullata (small rock oyster), 469 nucleotides long. RefSeq lists it as uncharacterized. NCBI's taxonomy places the organism in Eukaryota, Metazoa, Mollusca, Bivalvia, Ostreida, Ostreidae. The record is from RefSeq and is a predicted model, not a curated record. The transcript has 3 exons.
UUCUCCCCAUAUUGGGUAAAAUUGGAUUCAACUACCAGUACAAAUUGCUACUUUGGAAUUUAUUCCACCGUAAAUUGUGAUGACACAAUCGAAGCAUUCGGCGACCUUAUAUUAGGCAUUGAGGCUACUUCUGUGCUUGUUAUGGCUCUUACAACACUGGUCAUAUUGGUUGUCAUUUGCUGCAAGAAAGACGACGUACCCGAGCAUGAAUUGCGCAGUUGUGUAUUUUAUUUGCUUGGCCUUUAUGUUCUUGCAGGAAUCCUCGGCUUCAUUGGAUGUAUGCUUGUUUUAGAUGCAUAUUACGACAAUGACCAAGGCUGGGGAUUUUAUGUUAGUGUGGCAGGAUCAUGCUUUGUAAUACUGGUCGUAGGUCAAUUAUUUAAAAAGAAAAAAGAAUGAAUCUUUAUAACCUUGACUUCAACAUAUUCUUUGUUACAUGAUACUACUGUAAAAAAGGUCAAUUGUUACU